Small nuclear RNA from Chinchilla lanigera (long-tailed chinchilla), 107 nucleotides. Lineage: Eukaryota; Metazoa; Chordata; Mammalia; Rodentia; Chinchillidae. The record is from Ensembl.
GUGCUCACUUCAGCAGCACAUAUAGUAAACUUGGAACAAUACAGAGAAGAUUAGCAUGGUCCCUGCGCAAGGAUGACAUGCAAAUUCAUGAAGCAUUCCACAUUUUU